RNAcentral lists this long non-coding RNA (5711 nucleotides) under Arabidopsis lyrata. RNAcentral describes it as "long non-coding RNA (ALYR_LNC001200)". Lineage: Eukaryota; Viridiplantae; Streptophyta; Magnoliopsida; Brassicales; Brassicaceae. The record is from RNAcentral.
UUCUAAACCACGGAUAUCGGGUCCAGAGGCACUAAUUGGAAGCCUGGUCAAGCUUGAGCCGUUUGAUUUCCCCGGCAUGAUUGUAAAGCAAGCAACUGAUAGCUCCCUCACGGUUCAAGCUUCUUCUCCUAGUGACAAAGGAGCUUCUAGCUUUCGGUUAGUAUCUGGAGUUGAUGGGAAGCCAGGAAGCGUGUCGUUAAGACUAGAGAGCAAAAAGGGUUGUUUUGUGUACAGCGAUCAAACACUAAAGCAGGGGACGAAACUAAGGCUUGAAUGUGGUUCGGCUGCGACUGAUGAGAAGUUUAAAGAGGCAGCAAGCUUUAAGUUAAAGACAGGAAUGAAUCAAUACAAUCCAAUGAGUUUUGUGAUGAGCGGAACACAGAGGAACUUUGUGUUAUCGCCAUUGUUUAGCUUAAGAGAUGAAACAUACAAUGUGUACUUCAGUGUGCAAACUUGAAGAAAGAAACCCUCUUAAAAUUCUUUUAAGGUACAUUGGGAGAAAAAAUAAGAAAAAAAGUCUCAUUUGAAAUAUAUAUAGACAUGUGUUUAGAUGUUUAGCCUCUUAUUAGGUGGUUUGUGACUUUUGUGUUUUGCAAUUUCAUCUAAAAAUGUAUGUUGCUGUUACAUUAAAUAUAGACAAAUGUGUUUUUUAUAAAUUGUGCUAACGAUGAAUCCAUGUCUUUCUUUAUAUUCUAAAUAAAGAGUGGAGACUAGUUUGUUGCCGUGAAUCAUAGUCAGUGCAUUCAUGAAAUAAUAUUCUCAUAUGUGAUAGAAAUGUGUGUUUAGACAGAAAGUAUAUUUGUAUUUGAAAGAUGGAAGUGGCUAGCAGCUCCAUUUGUAUUUUGCUUGUGAAUUUGUGUCUCACGUUUGGAAAGCUCUAGCAAUAUGCCUCUACAAGACCAUCUACUCAAAGGACCGAAGUGAGAUAUUUGGGUUAUUGCCGUCGUAGAGACGAGCUUCUUCUGGUGUAUGGUUACAUGCCCAAUGGAAGUAUUUGUACGAUUGUCCUGAGGUAACACUUGAUUGGAAACAGAGGUUUAAUGUAAUUAUAGGUGUGGCCUCUGGCUUAUCCUAUCUCCCCGAGACAUCAAAGCCAGCAACGUUUUGGCAUUACAUUUUGUGAAAUUGCCUAAGAAGACUACAAAACCCAUUACUAUCUAUCUGAUGAUGAUGAUUUGCGAACAUGAAUCAUCUGGUUAACCGGUGGUUAUUGGAGGUAACCGAAGACUACAACUUGAGCCGGAGUUGGUUUGAGAAUUACAAAAUACAAUUAUCAUCUACUUGAAACCUCUGCUUCUCUCAGAGGUGUUAGCUUCUUCUUCAUGAUAUCAGACAUUACGGAUGCAGAGUCUAUGUGCUCCUCCUCGAAACCAAUCGAUCAGGCAAGCAAUUUCUCUCAUUGUCUACUUAAAGAGUUCAUUUUUCCCAGCAGAUUAUCCUCGGAAUCGCUGAUGUUUGUGUCUCGACUUUCUCUUAGGCAUUUCGUCGAAUCCCUUGAUCAAAAAGUUUCUUGAAGAAAUUUGACAAAAAGCUUUCUAAUUUCUGCGACAAAUCCUGUCCUCAGCCAUUAUGAGACACCAGGCGGCGAUGAGCAUUGUAGAGUACAUGCUCGAUGUUGACUCCCACAUGUGGAGCAUGAGGAGGAGUAAAGCUAACUUCUUCGUUGGUGAUGGUGUUUCGAGGAAAACCAUAAAUAGCCCACUGAUCUCAUAUCUCUCGAAAAACUUGUUCUUUUUUUACAACAAAACCGCGAAUAGCAUCCUCUGUUUUUAUCUAAAUCCUCUCUGUUUUUCUCUUCCACGUUAUUGAAUUCUAUUUUUAGCAGACAUUACUUUAAUCUUUAGAAUUCCUUUUUUUGGCAGACAUUGCUUUAAUCUUUACAGCUCUUUUCCUUUAUAAAUAUCUUCUCUUCUUCCAAUUCAAAUCUCAUCCCCUAACUAUUUUAUGAGUCUUGAGGCUCUUGGAUUCUGAAAAUUUGGGAUCUUAGGGUUUCGGGUUUUCAACCAUCUCUUUUUUUGGUGUCUUUUAAGGCAAAAAAAGAUACGAUGAAGUCUGGUGUCAUCAUAACCAUUGCUCUGUUAUUAUUCACAAGCUUUGUUCUUGUUUGUGUAGCGAAAGAGUGUACAGACAUUCCUACCAAGCUCUCAUCGCAUACUUUGCGCAGCGAGCUUCUGCAAUCACAGAACGAAACUUUGAAGACAGAGUUGUCCUCUCAUUACCAUUUAACUCCAACUGAUGACGCCGCUUGGUCUACUUUGUUGCCAAGGAAGAUGUUGAAAGAAGAGACGGAUGAUUUCGCUUGGACUAUGUUGUAUAGGAAGUUCAAGGACUCUAAUUCCUCUGGUAACUUUCUCAAGGACGUCUCUUUGCACGACGUUAGGCUCGACCCCAGCUCCUUUCAUUGGAGGGCUCAGCAGACAAACCUUGAGUAUCUAUUGAUGUUGAAUGUUGAUGGUUUGGCCUAUAGCUUCCGUAAAGUUGCUGGUCUUGAUGCUCCUGGAGUUCCCUAUGGAGGAUGGGAGAAACCAGAUAGUGAACUCCGUGGCCAUUUUGUCGGUAUAAACCUCUGCCUUUUUCCUCAAUUCGAUACAAUUUCUUGAUUCAUGUUGUUGAUAGUAUGCAAGAAAAGGUUUUGAGAUUUGAUGUUUGGUACAUAGAUUGAUUAGACCCUUAAGAUUGCAUAGGCCCUUAAAGGAAUCACCUUUUGACAUUUCAUAGACCCUUGAAAGGAUUUUCAACCUUAAAGGAAUGACCUUUUAGUUGAUGGCUCAAAAAUCUCUCUCUGUUUGUUUUGAAGGUCACUAUUUGAGUGCAACAGCUUAUAUGUGGGCAAGUACUCAUAAUGAUACUCUCAAGACGAAAAUGUCAGCUCUUGUCUCUGCUUUAGCGGAAUGCCAGCAAAAAUCUGGCACAGGAUAUCUCUCUGCUUUUCCUUCCAGUUUUUUCGACCGGUUUGAAGCUAUAACACAUGUUUGGGCUCCUUACUACACCAUUCACAAGGUGAAUAGUCAGACCCUUUGACUGAGAUGUAGAUUGAUAUGCUUAUGUUUUGCAAAAGAGUAACAUCUCUGUCUUAAUUUUGACAGAUUUUGGCCGGCCUGGUGGAUCAAUAUAAGUUGGCUGGGAAUACUCAAGCUUUAAAGAUGGCAACAGGGAUGGCUGAUUACUUUUAUGGCCGUGUUCAAAAUGUGAUAAGGAAGUACAGUGUUGAACGACAUUGGCUAUCACUAAACGAAGAGACUGGUGGCAUGAAUGAUGUUCUUUAUCAGCUAUACAGCAUCACUGUGAGUUAAAAUCUUAUCAGACUCUAAAAAGCAACCUUAGAUUUGUGUUAUAUCUAGCUUUGUGUUAUAUCAUAGUGUUUUGGACUCUGCAGCGAGAUUCCAAGUAUUUGUUUCUCGCACAUCUCUUUGACAAGCCUUGCUUUCUCGGGGUCCUCGCAAUUCAGGUAGGUUACUUGAUGAUUAGCUUGAAGAGAUGUGAAUGGUAAGGUCACAUAACUUGACAUGCAUUUUUGCAGGCCGAUGAUAUUAGUGGAUUCCACGCUAAUACACAUAUUCCCAUCGUCGUUGGAUCCCAACAACGAUAUGAAAUCACUGGUGAUCUACUCCAUAAGGUAUUGAAGUGUAACCAAGAAAAGUUUAUCAAAGAAGAUAUUGGUUCUCUUGAUUCUGAAAUAUGCAUUUCCAGGAAAUCUCGAUGUUCUUUAUGGACAUAGUUAAUGCUUCUCACAGCUAUGCAACUGGAGGAACAUCAGUCAAAGAGUUCUGGUACUACCAUUACCUGACGUUAGAGUUUGGUUCUUUGUAACAUGACUUUUUGUUUUAAGUCUUAACCAUGUUUUGGGAAUGUUAACAUUAGGCAAGAUCCAAAGAGAAUGGCGACUACACUGCAAACUGAAAACGAGGAAUCAUGUACUACUUAUAACAUGCUCAAGGUAGGAUUUUAAACUCUUUUUAUUUGCUCAAGGUAACAUACUAACAUAUGAACACUUCUACAACUUCAGGUCUCUAGGAAUCUGUUCAGAUGGACAAAAGAGGUUAGCUAUGCAGACUAUUACGAGCGCGCUUUGACCAACGGUGUGCUUGGAAUUCAAAGAGGAACCCAACCCGGACGGAUGAUCUACAUGCUCCCAUUAGGUCAAGGUGUUUCUAAGGCUGUGACUUAUCACGGUUGGGGAACACCUUAUGAUUCCUUCUGGUGUUGCUAUGGCACUGGUAAACUUUUAACCACAAUCAUCUGGUUUUCUACAUUUUUUUUAAGAUACAAAAAUCAGAUAAAUUGUGAGGGUAAUCAUUGUUUUGUUUAUUUCCAUAGGAAUUGAAUCCUUUUCAAAACUGGGAGAUUCCAUAUAUUUUCAAGAAGAUGGUGCAUCUCCAGCUCUUUAUGUCACCCAAUAUAUAUCAAGCUCACUUGAUUGGAAAUCUGCUGGUCUUUUGCUAUCUCAGAAAGUUAAUCCUGUUGUGUCGUGGGAUCCGUACAUGCGUGUGACAUUCACUCUUUCUUCUUCCAAAGUGGUAAAACUUGUGCAGAACAUGAUGUAACAUGUUCCAUUGAAGAAAGAGUCUGAUGGAUCCAAUUUUCUUGCAGGGAGUGGCGAAGAAGUCGACUUUGAAUCUAAGAAUUCCUGUUUGGACUAACUCUAUAGGUGCCAAAGUAUCUUUGAAUGGGAAACCCUUAAAAGUACCAACUUCAGGUGAUUUGAGCAUUGUGUAUUGUAACCUUUCUAUAUCACCGGAAUUGAACAAAAGUUUACUAAUAAUCAGGUAGUUUGAUUAUUGUGUAUUGGAACUGUCUUGUUCUUUGUAGGUAAUUUCCUAUCGAUCAAACAGAACUGGAAAUCUGGCGAUCAAGUAACCAUGGAGCUACCAAUGAGUAUCAGAACCGAAGCUAUAAAAGGUAACACAAUUACACUGUGUAGAGUUUGUUAAGUUAAAAUGGUUCUUGAUCAUUGUGUAUAAAUUGUAUGCAACUCUGUUUUUACAAAGCAAUAACAACAGAAACUAAUUUUUACAAUAUUUUGUGAUUAUUUCAGAUGAUCGUCCGGAGUACGCAUCUCUUCAAGCCAUACUCUAUGGCCCCUACUUGUUAGCCGGACACACGAGCAGGGACUGGAGCAUCACAACUCAGGCUAAAGCUGGAAAUUGGAUAACCCCUAUACCUGAAACUUAUAACAGUCACCUUGUCACACUCUCACAACAAUCUGGAAACAUAUCUUACGUGUUGUCAAAUACCAACCAAACCAUCACAAUGAGGGUAUCACCCGAGCUAGGGACACAAGAUGCCGUUGCAGCGACUUUCAGGCUCGUGACUGAUAAUUCUAAACCACGGAUAUCGGGUCCAGAGGCACUAAUUGGAAGCCUGGUCAUGCUUGAGCCGUUUGAUUUCCCUGGCAUGAUUGUAAAGCAAGCAACUGAUAGCUCCCUCACGGUUCAAGCUUCUUCUCCUAGUGACAAAGGAGCUUCUAGCUUUCGGUUAGUAUCUGGAGUUGAUGGGAAGCCAGGAAGCGUGUCGUUAAGACUAGAGAGCAACAAUGGUUGUUUUGUGUACAGCGAUCAAACACUAAAGCAGGGGACGAAACUAAAGCUUGAAUGUGGUCCGGUUGCGACUGAUGAGAAGUUUAAAGAGGCAGCAAGCUUUAAGUUAAACACAGGAAUGAAUCAAUACAAUCCAAUGAGUUUUGUGAUGAGCGGAACACAGAGGAACUUUGU